GGUAUAAUGUGAUGAUAAUUAUGUAAAUGUUGCAUGAUGUGAGUGUUGAUACCAAAAUUGAGCCGACCUAACCCACGUAUGAGCCAAUAAGGACACGUGGUACACCAGGAGUCGGCAAUAAGGCGCCUGAAGGACAAAAAGGCGGGAAUGGUUGAGGAUUAGGGCGUAACUUCCAUGAGGAGUUAGCGUAACUUCCAUGAGGAGUUAGUAUAACUUCCACGAUCAUGGUUACAACCACUCCCCCCAACUUCUUUCAACCAACUAAUAAUGUGGGCUAUAAAUAGUAACUUUGAAGCCUGCAAUAGGGGUCUUUGCCCCUGCGCACAAAAGACCACCCUUAUUUUCCUGCAUCUUUCUUUCUCGCAUUUACUGCUAUCCCUAGGAGUAGUUCCUGUAACUUAGAUCUUUGGAGUCUGUCUGCCCCAUGGGCAUCACUCCCUUAUAGAAUAUACUUGGAGUCUGUCUGCCCCAUGGGCAUCACUCCCUUGUAGAAUAUACUUGUAGUCUGUCUGCCCCACGGGCAUCACUCCCCUGUUCUUGUACUUUUUUAUUUUCUAUUCAAUAGAAAGUCACGUUCGGCUAUUCAGGCCGACCAGAUUUUGUGUUGUGCUAGCCAUUCGGCUCAUCUCCCGGCUUAAUUUCCGACUUUUCUCGCAUAUUCGGCUUAUCCAGCCGUACCAAAGAGUGAAAAGAACUUUCGGACCUGGCUGAUUCGAUCCCUCAUCGGUCG
This 730-nucleotide long non-coding RNA is filed under the name Ananas comosus (pineapple). Its description in RNAcentral is "long non-coding RNA (ACOM_LNC016665)". Lineage: Eukaryota; Viridiplantae; Streptophyta; Magnoliopsida; Poales; Bromeliaceae. The record is from RNAcentral.